RNAcentral lists this ribosomal RNA (453 nucleotides) under Triticum aestivum (bread wheat). Its description in RNAcentral is "partial small subunit ribosomal RNA". The record is from RNAcentral. Lineage: Eukaryota; Viridiplantae; Streptophyta; Magnoliopsida; Poales; Poaceae.
AUGAGGGACUUCUACCUGUGUUAUCCUGCAAUUCUCAUCAACACAUUAGUUCGUCAACCAUGUUUGUCGUCAAUACUCCAAAACCAACUAGGGGUGGCACUAGAUGCACUUACACACCUGCCAUCCAUCAACCACAAACCCAACAUACGUUCCAUCUUCCAGAUGUCGUCGAUGCAGACCACAAUCUGCAUCCGCUCCUGGACUACCUCCCUAGCUCCGCACCGGCGUUGGAGCAGACGCCGUCGCAACGACGGAGCCCGAGGACACAUGUCCACCACGAGGAUGCCGCUGCCGCCACACCAUCCUUGCUUGAACAGUCUGGUUUUCAAAACCAUCCCCAACCAUAGGACCGACCGCCUUGUUGAAGAAGGAUCUGAAGAAUCUUUAUUCAGCGCCGUCAUCGCCGUCACCGAAGCCAAGACGAUGAACAACCUAAAAGUGAAGCUACUUUAG